Molecule: ribosomal RNA, 333 nt
Filed under: uncultured Candidatus Sumerlaeota bacterium
Lineage: Bacteria; Candidatus Sumerlaeota
Description: bacterial SSU rRNA
Rfam family: Bacterial small subunit ribosomal RNA
Source: RNAcentral
AACGAACGCUGGCGGCAGGCUUCAUACAUGCAAGUCGAGCGAUUAAAGCCCCUUCGGGGGUGUAUAAAGCGGCGAACGGGUGAGUAACAGGUGGAUAACCUGCCUUUCGGAGGGGGACAACGGCUGGAAACGGCCGCUAAUACCGCGUACGCUUGCCGGUUCUUAGGGACUGGCAAGGAAAGGGGCCCUUAAAGCCCCGCCGAGAGAUGGGUCCGCCCCCCAUUAGCUAGUUGGCGGGAUAAUAGCCCACCAAGGCUACGAUGGGUAGCCGAGCUGAGAGGUUGAUCGGCCACACUGGAACUGAGAUACGGUCCAGACACCUACGGGAGGCAG